This 373-nucleotide ribosomal RNA is filed under the name uncultured bacterium. RNAcentral describes it as "bacterial SSU rRNA". It matches the Rfam family "Bacterial small subunit ribosomal RNA", at positions 525 to 896 of the family's 1533-position model. The record is from RNAcentral.
ACGGGGGGGGCAAGCGUUGUUCGGAAUUACUGGGCGUAAAGGGCUCGUAGGUGGCCACCUAAGUCCGACGUGAAAUCCCUCGGCUCAACCGGGGAACUGCGUCGGAUACUGGGUGGCUUGAAUCCGGGAGAGGGACGUGGAAUUCCAGGUGUAGCGGUGAAAUGCGUAGAUAUCUGGAGGAACACCGGUGGCGAAGGCGGCGUCCUGGACCGGUAUUGACACUGAGGAGCGAAAGCCAGGGGAGCAAACGGGAUUAGAUACCCCGGUAGUCCUGGCCCUAAACGAUGAGUGCUUGGUGUGGCGGGUAUCGAUCCCCGCUGUGCCGGAGCUAACGCGUUAAGCACUCCGCCUGGGGAGUACGGUCGCAAGGCUG